RNAcentral lists this ribosomal RNA (271 nucleotides) under uncultured prokaryote. Its description in RNAcentral is "partial 16S ribosomal RNA". It matches the Rfam family "Bacterial small subunit ribosomal RNA", at positions 524 to 794 of the family's 1533-position model. The record is from RNAcentral.
UACGUAGGGGCGAGCGUUGUCCGGAAUUACUGGGCGUAAAGGGAGCGUAGGCGGCCGAUUAAGUUGGAUGUGAAAUCCCCGGGCUUAACUUGGGUGGUGCAUCCAAUACUGGUUGGCUAGAGUACAGGAGAGGAAAGCGGAAUUCCUGGUGUAGCGGUGAAAUGCAUAGAUAUCAGGAGGAACAUCGGUGGCGAAGGCGGCUUUCUGGACUGACACUGACGCAGAGGCUCGAAAGCGUGGGGAGCAAACAGGAUUAGGAUACCCUGGUAGU